GAUGAACGCUGGCGGCGUGCCUAAUACAUGCAAGUCGAGCGAACAGAUGAGGAGCUUGCUCCUCUGACGUUAGCGGCGGACGGGUGAGUAACACGUGGAUAACCUACCUAUAAUACUGGGAUAACUUCGGGAAACCGGAGCUAAUACCGGAUAAUAUAUUGAACCGCAUGGUUCAAUAGUGAAAGACGGUUUUGCUGUCACUUAGAGAUGGAUCCGCGCCGCAUUAGCUAGUUGGUAAGGUAACGGCUUACCAAGGCAACGAUGCGUAGCCGACCUGAGAGGGUGAUCGGCCACACUGGAACUGAGACACGGUCCAGACUCCUACGGGAGGCAGCAGUAGGGAAUCUUCCGCAAUGGGCGAAAGCCUGACGGAGCAACGCCGCGUGAGUGAUGAAGGUCUUCGGAUCGUAAAACUCUGUUAUUAGGGAAGAACAAAUGUGUAAGUAACUAUGCACGUCUUGACGGUACCUAAUCAGAAAGCCACGGCUAACUACGUG
RNAcentral lists this ribosomal RNA (497 nucleotides) under uncultured bacterium. Its description in RNAcentral is "partial 16S ribosomal RNA". It matches the Rfam family "Bacterial small subunit ribosomal RNA", at positions 28 to 507 of the family's 1533-position model. The record is from RNAcentral.